UCAGAGUGGAAUUAGCAGGAUAUACUGCACCCAUCAGGAGAAAUGCCAAAGAAGUUAGAGAGAAUUAGAGGAGGAAGCACCAAAGUAUGUGACUCAUGGCUUCAGAGAAGAGAGCCAAUUAUGAAUUCAAGAAAUAAUUAGUCCCUGCAGUUGGGUGUUCAUCUGCACAUAGAAGCAGGUCUGGGGAGCCCAGCUCAGUGACCUGCCUAGCAAUGCAAGUACCCAGUGAGGAGCAGCAUGCAAAUAUGAGUGGUCAUCAGGGCCCCGUGGUUGCAGAACCUGAAUAGCCUUGAUCACCUGUGCUCCCUGGAAGCAAAGUACUCCCUGAAUCCUCUUCGUCUUUAUAAAGGGAAAAGGUGCAAUGGUCUAGGACCUCACCAGGCUAAAAUAAGAGCAGAUUUAUCAAAUGCUUUGAGAUCCUUUAAUGAACAACAGUAGGAAUAUGGGAUAUUGGAAGAAUGAUGGUGAUGUCUUCAUCAGAAACAGUAAAGUUUGGAAGGGGAGUUGGUAGAGAAGCUGGUUCACCUGCUUGGGCUGGUAAUGGAGAAUCUUUGGGCAUAAGGAAAAUCUAACCUACAACUCCUUCUGUUUUCACCUGGAUCAUUGCCUUUUCUCCUAGCUCCUUCUGUCUGCUGAACCAUCUGCGAUUCAAUUGCUCAGGGGACUGUUGGGCCUUCACUGACCUUCAUUCAUCCUCCGGAACUUUUCCUUGGACAUGUACCCCAGCACCAGACAGCAUCCUCUCUUCUGGAGCCCAAGUUCUGGAAGGAAGCACACAGUAGGAUGAGUCAAGACACGCUGACGCAUCUGAAGGCACAGCCAAGCGAUCUCACUUCAAACAAACCUCCAUCUCAGGCGCCCAAAUUGACGAUGUUAAGUUCUCUCAUCCAAGGCCUUGGCCCUUUCUUUAGGGGAUCCUGUGCUGUAUAGGGCCGCCUGGAUCAAAGCCCCUUUGAUGUUUACUUACUAUAUUUGUGGAUUCUUUCUAACAACCAUCUUCAAGAGGCAAGAAUCCAGACUGCCUAGAAGGGGCAAGCGGAAGUAUAAGCGACACACAGAGUUUUAGUGGAACAAUAGCCGCUCACCAGAGACUGCAAUGAAAGCCCGAACACACUGACGAUGAGUAUAGUUAACUAUCCCAUUAUGAUUGCAGAUGCAUUGUUCGUCAUUGGAAUGAUACAAUUGCUGACAAUGUCUAUUAUAUUUUUCAUUGGCGUUUUAUGAUCAUCUUAAAGCACAUCCCUAACAUUUCCUAAUUAAAGAGAGAGGGGGGGAAAGGGGUGGAAGAAACAGACACAAAGACAGAGAGACAGAGAAAGAGAGAGAGAGACAGAGACAGGGAGAGAGGGAGGGGGGAGAGAAGAGAGGGAAAUGGAGACAGAUGGAGGGUGGAAGGGAAGAAGGGAGAGGAAAGAAAGGAGAAGGAAAUGGAGACAGAGACAGAGAGAGAGAGUGAAGAAGGGAAGGAGGGAGGGAGAGAGGAAGGGAAGGAGAGAGGAAGAUGGGGAUGGAGAUGGAGACAGAGAAAGGGAGGGAAAGGGAGAGAGUUCAGGGAGGAAAAGAGUAAAUGAAAGAAGAGCAAGAGACCCUGGAAUACUUCUGAGACCGUCUCAGUUUAUCCUCUGGAGUUGCAGCAACAUAACUUCAAGGAAAAGGAGGGAGGCAGCAAUUCCCCAGGGAAUUUUGAGAGCAUAAACAGAAAGUUAAGAGCUUUACAUGAUCUAAAAGCUCAUACCUAAUAGCUGUGGAAAUCUGAAAUAGGGCUUUCUAACUGGCUCUGAGUUGAGACUCUAUUCUGAGCCUUUAAUCUAAUAGCUCAUAAUUUUGUCUUUGUAUUUCCUAUGUGUCCUUCUUUCAGUCUAACACAAAGUCACUGCUUGUUGAUUGGUUGGUUGACACAGGCAUAGUUCUUUGUAUGGAUGAAAACCCCAAGGUUCAUUGAGAAGUCAUUUGUCCACGGUUAUAUAGGUAAUAAGUGUUUGCAUCAGGAUUCAAACACAGGUCCUUGGGUUCGAAAUCCAGGGCUGUGUCCUCUCUACCAAACACUUGUUGCUUAUAAACAUGCCAGUACGUGGGAUCAAGUUUAAUAAAAUUCUCCAGAUAUUUAUGGAGUACCAAUUAUGUGCUGAGUACUGGAGCUGUAGCAAAGAUUCUAUAACACCUGGUCCCUGUCCACAUGAAGCCGGCUGCACAGUGGUCUGGCUAGUGUUCCAGCAUCCACUUUGCUCUGGUCUGCUUGUCAAGGGCUGAGCGUACUAGGAAAGAUGUUAUAGACUAUCAUUGUAACCAGGAGACUCGCUGACAACAUCUGAUUUUUGCAAAUUAGCAAGAAAAGGAAUUUAAAAAACCUGAUUAAUAAAAGAAAUUGGGGAUGCGG
Molecule: long non-coding RNA, 2377 nt
Organism: Monodelphis domestica (gray short-tailed opossum)
Lineage: Eukaryota; Metazoa; Chordata; Mammalia; Didelphimorphia; Didelphidae
Source: RefSeq, a predicted model, not a curated record